Molecule: long non-coding RNA, 1227 nt
Organism: Zootermopsis nevadensis
Lineage: Eukaryota; Metazoa; Arthropoda; Insecta; Blattodea; Termopsidae
Source: RefSeq, a predicted model, not a curated record
UCUCAUAUCUAGCCAAAGUGCAGACCAGAUAUUGUUAGCACGACUGCGAGAAGUGCUUGUUUGACAGACAGUAAGGGCAUACGCCAAAGCCUCUGCGUUGAGCCUUGUUUUGUUAGUGUAUUUCCAAAUAAAUUUGCAAACUCGAUUUCUGGAAAGUUUCGAAAGCUUAGCCUAAUACAUCAUUAGAUGGCAGAAGAGGCUCCAUAGACUAUAUCGCACAUUACAUUAUACAGUAACACACUGCUAAAAUCAAGUAUACCCUUGGCCUAGGUAACUGUGUCUACAGCACAAACAAAUACAACUGUACACAUCGAUUUAUGAACAUCUGAAUUGGAGCCCCAGAUUAAUAGAUCAUCUGAAAACAUACGCAUCACCCUGAAGAGAAACAACCAAUGGAAAGGGCCGACAUGUUUUCUCCUUAACGUGAAAGGAAAUAGAAUUUACUGGACUGUGCAAUGCGUUAUGAAAACUGUACAACAGGGGGUCAGUUCACAAAGUCCCUCUCCAACAGCGAGAGUUAUACACCUUGAAGACACCGCAGAUGGAAACGCCAAGACCUUACGAAAAGAGAGUCCAGUAAACAACGCCUGCUAACGUUGACAACGAAUGCAAUGUACGAGAGUGGUUAAGAGACAUCAGUGAACGAAAGAAAUGAAUGACUGAUCAGAGCGUCAUCUGUAGUCCGAAACUGUGUAGGGUUACGUCCGCUAACCUACAGUAUACUGGCAGAGAUUAAAGAUACCACAAUCAAGAAGGGAGUGUUUAAGAGAGCCAGCCCCACAGUUGAAAACCCAUACUUAUUUGUAAGAAUCUCGUAGUUACGUUCCAGCCACACUUUGACUCGCUACUGCUCUCGGUAAUUUUAGCAAAGCCAGCAAUGUUUCCUGCAGAUGAUUGGUCAAAAUGAUAGACGGUUCUUUGAGGCGACACCCGGAGUUUGUCACGAUCGUUGCAGUGACAAUGUUUUUCUUUUAGGGUUGUGACGCCAUGUGGACUAGUAGGAAGUUUAGGAGAAACAUCGUCAGACCAUAAGAUGGAGACAGUUAUUCCGAAACGGCAUUACAGCCCAGAUAACAGUCAUAAAGUAUCUGUACUGACAGCUGCUUGAAUAGAUUCCACCAUUAUACUCUACAUUACGACAAAGCAGGUUUGCUUAACAGAUUAUCUGAUUUCGUGACAAAUUCAGUCACUCGGUGUGGUUCCUAAAUAAAUAACUUAUAACUCUUA